CUACAUAGGGGGCGAGCGUUAUCCGGAUUUAUUGGGCGUAAAGGGUGCGUAGGCGGUAAAUUAAGUCUAAGGUUAAAGUGCAGGGCUCAACCCUGUGAUGCCUUAGAAACUGGUUUACUUGAGUUUGGUAGAGGUAAGUGGAACUCCAUGUGUAGCGGUAAAAUGCGUAAAUAUAUGGAAGAACACCAGUGGCGAAGGCGGCUUACUGGGCCACAACUGACGCUGAGGCACGAAAGCGUGGGGAGCAAACAGGAUUAGAUACCCUGGUAGUCCACGCUGUAAACGAUGAAUACUAAGUGUUGGAAAAAUCCAGUGCUGAAGUUAACGCAUUAAGUAUUCCGCCUGAGUAGUACGUACGCAAGUAUGAAACUCAAAUGAAUUGGCGGGG
RNAcentral lists this ribosomal RNA (388 nucleotides) under uncultured bacterium. Its description in RNAcentral is "partial 16S ribosomal RNA". It matches the Rfam family "Bacterial small subunit ribosomal RNA", at positions 523 to 918 of the family's 1533-position model. The record is from RNAcentral.